AAAUAACAAGCCUCAUAUCUCCUGUAUUUCCUUCAGACUGGGAUCAUGGGCAGACACUCGGCCAUCAUUGUUUUACUAAUGUUGGUCUUAAUAUUUCAAUCACACUGUCGUCUACUUGACACUCAUAAUAGAGAUGAAAGGAAAAUGGGCGUAAGAGCGGAGUACAACACGGAGAUUGAAAAGAGAAACACCGAAGAAGUAGAAGAUUAUGGUGGUGGUCAUAGUUCGCCGGCGCCAGGUCGUGGAAAUUAGAGAAUUUACAUUCGUAUAGAGCAGCGUUCACCUUAAGUUUGUUAGCGGCAAAGGCAAAGCAGCGUGUUUCCUCCUCCCUUACUAUUAUAUUUUUGAUAAUGAACUGGUCAAGGUUGUUACAACUACUUCUUGUAGAGGGCUUGCUAAGCCUUCGAGUGGGCUAAAAUUUGUUGAGGCCACAGAGAAUCUUAAUGUCAAGGACGACAAACCACUCAAAUUCAUAGGCGAUGGCUAUGAAAGUUGAGGAUCUUAAUGUCAAGGAUGACAAACCACUCAAAUUCAUUUGGACUGUGAGAGAAACAGAGAAUGGAUUGAACUCUUGGAAUCAACAAAAGCUUUAUGUAGAAGUGAGUGAUGUAGGUUAUGAUUGUGGAUAAGAAAAUUGAGAAGAAGAAGAAAAUCAAGGCUCCUGCAGAAACCAAGAAC
Long non-coding RNA from Cryptomeria japonica (Japanese cedar), 678 nucleotides. RefSeq lists it as uncharacterized. NCBI's taxonomy places the organism in Eukaryota, Viridiplantae, Streptophyta, Pinopsida, Cupressales, Cupressaceae. The transcript has 4 exons. The record is from RefSeq and is a predicted model, not a curated record.